UGGGGAAUUUUGGACAAUGGGCGCAAGCCUGAUCCAGCCAUGCCGCGUGCAGGAUGAAGGCCCUCGGGUUGUAAACUGCUUUUGUACGGAACGAAAAGCCUCUUUCUAAUAAAGAGGGGUGAUGACGGUACCGUAAGAAUAAGCACCGGCUAACUACGUGCCAGCAGCCGCGGUAAUACGUAGGGUGCGAGCGUUAAUCGGAAUUACUGGGCGUAAAGCGUGCGCAGGCGGUCUUGCAAGACAGUGGUGAAAUCCCCGGGCUCAACCUGGGAACUGCCAUUGUGACUGCAAGGCUGGAGUACGGCAGAGGGGGAUGGAAUUCCGCGUGUAGCAGUGAAAUGCGUAGAUAGGCGGAGGAACACCGAUGGCGAAGGCAGUCCCCUGGGCCUGUACUGACGCUCAUGCACGAACGCGUGGGGAGCAAACA
Molecule: ribosomal RNA, 427 nt
Filed under: uncultured bacterium
Lineage: Bacteria
Description: bacterial SSU rRNA
Rfam family: Bacterial small subunit ribosomal RNA
Source: RNAcentral